UUAGGCGGACGGGUGGAGUAACGACGUGGCGAACCUGCCUUACACAGGGGGAUAACACGUUAGAAAUAGGUGCUAAAACCGCAUAAGCGCACAGCUUCGCAUGAAGCGGUGUGAAAAACUCCGGUGGUGUAAGAUGGACCCGCGUCUGAUUAGCUUGUUGGCGGGGUAACGGCCCACCAAGGCGACGAUCAGUAGCCGGCCUGAGAGGGCGGACGGCCCACAUUGGGACUGAGACACGGCCCAGACUCCUACGGAAGGCAGCAG
This 264-nucleotide ribosomal RNA is filed under the name uncultured bacterium. RNAcentral describes it as "partial 16S ribosomal RNA". It matches the Rfam family "Bacterial small subunit ribosomal RNA", at positions 94 to 354 of the family's 1533-position model. The record is from RNAcentral.